Molecule: ribosomal RNA, 478 nt
Filed under: uncultured eukaryote
Lineage: Eukaryota
Description: bacterial SSU rRNA
Rfam family: Eukaryotic small subunit ribosomal RNA
Source: RNAcentral
UGAAAUGACGGAUCGUCGGCCCCGCGCCGGCGACUCGCCGAAUGAGUUCUGACCUAUCAACUCGAGACGGCGGGGUAGAGGCCCGCCGCGGUAACGACGGGUAACGGGGAAUCAGGGUUCGAUUCCGGAGAGGGAGCCCGAGAAAACGGCUACCACUUCCAAGGAAGGCAGCAGGCGCGCAACUUACCCUAAUCUCGAUUCGAGGAGGUAGUGACAAGAAAUACCGAUGCGGGACCCUACGGGUGCCGCGUUCGGAAUGAGUACGAUUCGAACCACCUAACGAGGAACGAUCGGAGGGCAAGUCUGGUGCCAGCAGCCGCGGUAAUUCCAGCUCCAAUAGCGUACGUUAAAGUUGCUGCAGUUAAAAAAGCUCGUAGUUGAACGUUCGGGUUCCGCGGGACGGGGCCGCCCCGCGAGGGACGGCGCCGCCCCGGGGCUCGUGAUAUCUCAUCUCGCCGCCCGUCGCGAGGCGGACGGA